CACACACACGCACACACACACACACACACACACACACACACACACACACACACACACACACACACACACACACACACACACACACACACAUAUACGGGUCUAUGUGGUAUGGAGGGACUAUCCUACGUCAAUCCGCCCGGUGGUGGUUUAAGUGGACUACCCUUUUCAAUGGACUUAGAGCCAAGGGAGCGAGGUUAAAGUGUUCGAAAAAAUCUGAAAAAAAUUUGGGUCACUUCAGACCUCAUACACUCCCUAUAGAAGUCUAGAUACACUGAUACACACCAACCAGACUCUAUUGUGUUUUCUGGAGACAUUGUCCACUUGACAACAAUGUGUUUUAUGAGGUCCAAAAAAAACAAUAUUGGGUCUUUAAAGGGACAAUGAUGUAAUAUUUAAAUAGCUCAUCAUUACCAUGAAUACACAUCUGACAGGACACAGGAUUACUGGAACAUCAUUUUAUUAGUGUUCUUGGAUCUGAACAUUAAUUUUAACCAUAAAUAAAAAAAGAAAUCUAUGGACAAAAAUGCCCACGCUUCCCACAGAAAUAUAAAAAUAUAGAAAACAGAAAAAUUAAAAACAUUUAAAAUGAAUUUUAAUAGUUUAAAGGUAAAUAUUAAGGGGAGAAAAUAUGCAUUUAUAAUUUUUUAUUUUAAAUAUAACCCGUCAAAAAAAAACCCUAAAUAAAUUAAAUGUAAAAAUUAUGAAAUACAAACUACUUCUGUAUUUAACAAGAACUUUUUUUUUCUUUAAACAGAACAUCAGUGUUAACAACAAUUGGCAAUCUGACCAAGAUGUAAAACCACAUCUGGCUAAACAGUUAUUUUAAUUCAUUUUUUUCUGCCUUUUUGCAGUUAAUCCUCUGUUUCUUACAAAAUCUCUUAUGUUUUGAACUGUUCUUCCUGCCAACACCGGAUCUUCUACCAAUUUGCAAUGACUGCAUUCAUUUUUGGUGGCUAGUUUCCCUUCGUUUAUGUGGUCUUUAAAAUGCCUCAUCACUGCAGCAACCUCAGCCUUGGACCACAUGUUUUUGGGAGCUCUUCGGGAAUUGUGGGAUUGAGCAGCAUUUUUCUCUGGAAGAUAUAUAAAGUAGUAGUAGUUAAAACAAACAAAAAACCAAACAAAAAAAACAAAAAACAUUUGCUUGUUAAAAGAAUGGAUGCUACCCUGUACUAACUUCUGAAAUGUGUUGCUACCAUCAAUAUCAAAACGAGCUAAAAUUCUCUUUGAAAAUUUAUCAAAUUUCUAAAAUGAGACAACAUUUAGUGUUCCGCUGUGAAUAAAAGACUGAAUAAAAAGUUGAAAUAAAAGUCUCUUGAUGCAUGCUCAAUCAUCCAGGUAAGUAAAUCCCAAAACGUUGAUUCUGUUAAUCUGGACGUAGCGUUUUCAGUUGGAGAAACAUUUUGUCACUCAUCCAAGUGACUUUUUGCCACCACUCUGCAGUUUGCCAAAUGUUGCAAAGUG
This is a long non-coding RNA of Astatotilapia calliptera (eastern happy), 1461 nucleotides long. NCBI's taxonomy places the organism in Eukaryota, Metazoa, Chordata, Actinopteri, Cichliformes, Cichlidae. The record is from Ensembl.